RNAcentral lists this ribosomal RNA (499 nucleotides) under uncultured bacterium. Its description in RNAcentral is "bacterial SSU rRNA". It matches the Rfam family "Bacterial small subunit ribosomal RNA", at positions 15 to 507 of the family's 1533-position model. The record is from RNAcentral.
GAUCCUGGCUCAGGAUGAACGCUAGCGGCAGGCCUAAUACACGCAAGUCGAGGGGCAGCGCAGUAGCAAUACUGGCGGCGACCGGCGCACGGGUGCGUAACACGUAUGCAACCUACCUUCAACUGGAGGAUAAGCCCCGGGGGAAAACUCGGAUUAAUACUCCAUAACACAGGGAUCCCGCAUGGGAAUAUUGUUAAAGCUACGGCGGUUGAAGAUGGGCAUGCGUUCGAUUAGCUAGUUGGUGUAGGUAACGGCUCACCAAGGCUACGAUCGGUAGGGGGUCUGAGAGGAUGAUCCCCCACACUGGUACUGAGAUACGGACCAGACUCCUACGGGAGGCAGCAGUAGGGAAUAUUGGUCAAUGGGCGCAAGCCUGAACCAGCCAUGCCGCGUGCAGGAAGAAGGCCCUCUGGGUUGUAAACUGCUUUUGAUAGGGAACAAAUGCCACUUGCGAGUGGAGCUGAGUGUACCUAUAGAAUAAGCACCGGCUAACUCUGUG